RNAcentral lists this ribosomal RNA (278 nucleotides) under uncultured bacterium. Its description in RNAcentral is "partial 16S ribosomal RNA". It matches the Rfam family "Bacterial small subunit ribosomal RNA", at positions 29 to 334 of the family's 1533-position model. The record is from RNAcentral.
AAUGAACGCUGGCGGCAUGCCUAACACAUGCAAGUCGAACGAGACCUUCGGGUCUAGUGGCGCACGGGUGCGUAACGCGUGGGAAUCUGCCCUUGGGUUCGGAAUAACUCAGAGAAAUUUGAGCUAAUACCGGAUAAUGACGUAAGCCCAAAGAUUUAUCGCCCAGGGAUGAGCCCGCGUAGGAUUAGCUAGUUGGUGGGGUAAAAGCCUACCAAGGCGACGAUCCUUAGCUGGUCUGAGAGGAUGAUCAGCCACACUGGGACUGAGACACGACCCAG